Cygnus olor (mute swan) is the source of this 4426-nucleotide long non-coding RNA. RefSeq lists it as uncharacterized. The transcript has 3 exons. NCBI's taxonomy places the organism in Eukaryota, Metazoa, Chordata, Aves, Anseriformes, Anatidae. The record is from RefSeq and is a predicted model, not a curated record.
AUGAAGAUCUCAUUUCUCCUGGCUUUUUCUCUUCCAGGGGAGAUCACAAUGAUGUUUUAUGUUUAAAAGACAUGCUUUCUUAUUUUGGGGGAAUGAACAAGAGGAAACCAAGGUUUCUGUUAGUGUCUGUUAAUAUACUUCAUUGCUAUAGGCUCUAUUUGUUACAUAUGGCUCCUUCUUGGAAAAAAAGAAAAAAGGAAAAAAAAAAAAGAGAAGUAGUCAUUUGGAAAAGAGUUACCAUUCUUUAUAUCUCAGAUACGUCACACUUCAUUACGAUACUCUCUGUAAUGUGCAAAAGCACUGACUUUCCUGGGCAUGAUAAUGAAGAUGAAACGUGCUUUAAUCAGUUUGGGCUAAUCUGUGUGUUUUGGAGGCACUCAGAACAUCAAACAAGUUCAGGCAAUCUAGAAAGAUUAAGGGCUGAAUCACAGAUACAUGAAUGAGAUUUUUUUUUCUUCUCCCUCCAAAACCACUGUCCAGUUGGUAUAGAUCUGAAACUCAUUAGGAAAAUAAUGCUUAUACAGGAGAUUUUUUUUUUUCAUGUGCAAGUAUUAAAAAACACCAACAGGUUGUGAAAUCAGGUGCCUCAAGCAUCAUUACGAAAAGAGCCGAUAUUUCAUCCUUAGUGCAAAAAAUCCCAGAGGGCAAAAUGACAAGUGACAAAAGUGGAACUGAUGGGGCAAGCCUGGGGGAGAAGCACAAAAAGGGAAGAUGGGCAACAGCAGGCAGUGCAGAUACCAACAUGCUACUUCACUUCGCGUGGAGACUGGGUUGAGAGUUGGGAGUAAAAUCGGAUUCCUUCCCAAGAUGUUUGUCCUUCUCUUGGAUGGUGCCUCCAUCCCUGCAAUGCUAACCCCAAGAGGUGUUCACAGCUUCACGCCAGGAGCCCCUUUCCAGCAGGCGCGAGCAGCCCGCGCUGCAGCGGUGGGUGUAGUAGAGCUAGCGAGGGCUAGGUGGCAUACUGGAUUCGUUGGAGUCACCUCCAAGGACUUCCUUCCACAUCCAGCAAGGGCUAGGCUGAAUGAAAUUAUCUCUUUGCAGGCAGCUUUCUGUGUCAUUAAAAAAACAAAGCAACCGAUGCUUCCAGUGAAGACAGCAUCAAUGUUUUCCUUUCUAACAUGCCUCAUGGGGGUAUCAAUUUUAAACCGCAUGUAGGAAUGGAGUCUCCCCUCACCAGAUCAGCGCCUGGGUGUUCUGCGUGCCUGGGUUGGCUCCGUUUCACGUUAUCAAGGCUCGGCUGCCAAGAUUUCCAGCGAUGCCUGGUGACUGGGGUGCCUCCAUCUCCCAUUGCUACCCAAGUCACCUUGCAAGGUGUGGGGGACAUCAGCUCCUGCGCAUCGCAAGGCCCUUUUGCAAGAGCCAGAGCUUAAAGCCUGUACUGGAUAUUUAAACGAUAGAGGCAGAACUUGCUCAGGGGACAAAUUCCUCUUGCCUGAGCACAGACGAAAUUAGUUUCUUUUGCUAACAGGGAAAAGACAGAUGUUUCAUCACGAGCAGACAGCAGAGGUUCCCCUUUGCGCCUUCCCGGCCGGUGCAGAGAGCUGAGGCCUUUGCCUUGCUCGAAGGGCCUGAGCGGGGUCCUUGAGCGUGGGCAAGUGGCUCGGUGUCCCCCAGGCACACACGUGGGGCCAUUUUCCCCCUCCCAGCCCCGCGGGCACGGACCUGUGUACGCGGUUGUGCUUGCUUGGGAUGUCAGGGCAGCGCAGUUUGUCUCUGGGGAGGAGGCUGGCCUAGUUCCAGAGGCUCGGGAGGGCCGGGGAGGAGUUGCAAAAGCAGCUUCAUCUUCCCCUGUCUGCCACAGGGCCAGUGAGGCUCCUGUAUAUCAGAGGGAACCGGGUGGGUUCAGACAGCUGCCUUCGAAAGCGGUUGGGAAUCUUCUUCUCGAGGUGCUCGGCAAGCUCAAAAUAUCCCCAUGAUUCGCUCGCUUUCCACCUCCACCUUCCCCCGCUCCGUGCUGCCCACAUUCUUUUUUUGUUAUUAAUUGUUUUAGAUUCAGACAAUGCCUCUCCUUUGGCCUCAGGCAGGCGCACUGGCUGAAUCACUAAAACACUUUAACACACAUCUGCUGAGGCAGCAAAAAUCGGUAUCUCUCCUGCUCUCCUUUUUUUUUUUUUUUCCUCUCCCUUUCUCUGCCUCUCCAGUAUCACAGUCAAAAGGUGACCGAGGCACAAAGUAGAGCUGGAAUUGGCUGAAAAGAGAAAGUGCUCCCAGCUGAAGGGCAGAAAACACCUGCAUCUAAUAAAAACAAAUGAGAAACAUCAUCAAUAACCAGUAGAAAAAAAAUGGCAUAAAUAAAAGGAAAAGUAUAAAUUCAGAUGGUCUCUGGGAAACUUGAACAGAUGCCCCAGCCUGCUGGCUUCUGGAGGUAUUGUCUAGUUAUUUGCCUUGUGAUGCAGUGAAAUACAGAGGGUUGCCAUGUCUCUCUGGCAUAGAGUAAGGAGCUUUAGAAAGCUUGCUGAUGCCACGGUGAUGGGUGGCUCAUAAAUAAGUCAGAUUGUUUCCCUGGGGGGAGAGGGGCGUCUCCUGGAAGAAGCAAGCAUCCUCUGAAGGGCUUUCCUUUUGUCGCCUGUAAAGCAUUGCACAUUUUGCUGGGAGCGUUAGGAAAAGGGUUUAGGGAAGCAAGCAUGCUUGGAAUUGACCAAGCAAACAGAGGUUUCUUACAGGUGUGCUCACUGUGAUGUGGGGAGGCACUUUGCCUCCAUGAUCAUGUACCUGCUGCCUGGCCCCAUGAACUCGUGAUAAGCGGUGGUUUAUCUGCAGGAGAUGACUCCUGACUGUGACCAUCAGCUCCCUCCAAGCCUGCUGUGUCUGCUCACUCCUGAAGAGGUGUAAUUUUCAUAGAGAGCCCUGGGGUGGAUAUCUAGCUGCACCAUUGAGAGGAGAGGCUAUGGAUGGCUUGGAGGCUUCCUAAAGAACCUCCUGCUGUGUGAUCAGAGGUCUGUGUAUAGCCUCCUUUAUUAAAGUUGUGCCACUCAAAGGACAGAAACUCACCCGAAGCCUCAUCCCUGAAGGUCUGCAGAGCACUGUAAGGUCAGGAAUACGUGUAGUCUUUUGGCGUCCUGCUGAGACGGUGGGGACAACAGCUUCUGUGAUGGGGACGUAGGCUCAUGCAAGACUUGAUGGAGACGGACCCAAACCAGAGGGGCCCACAAACGCUGCUUGGAUACAUCCUCUUCUUAGCCGCCAGUAACUGGCCUGGAUGUGGGCUCAUGAUUAUAUCCCUGAAGUAAUUCCCUGGACUUCCCCUUGCCCCCACUCUAUAAUUAUUCAGAGUUAUUUUCUAAUGGCUGUCCUGCCACUUGUUUUCUUUCUGGCUUUCUUCUUCUUCUGAGUAAUGAAAACACAUCAGUGGCCUUUUUCCAAGAACAGUUAUUAAAGCAAUCACCCCCGCCUGUCCCCCUCCCCUCGUUUAAAGCCUAUCAAGCUCCAUUGGAUUUGUGGCCAGCGUUUGCAUCGAAUUACUAUUUUGGGGUUGCCAAAAAAAGCACAACCAGAAAGUUUUUGGGGAAAAAAGUAAAAAAAGUUUAAAAAAAAAAAAAAAGUGGAGGAGAGAGAAAGUUAUAAUCUUCCCAGAUCGCUAUUAAUUACGUUUACAAUAAUUACACUGUUCCGGACGGUUACACUGCUGACAUGCAGGAGGAUCAGCUCUUGCGGGGGAACCUGUGUGUGCAUCUCAUCUUUGCCUUUCCUCUAGAACAAGACUCGCAGCUGAUGCUGGGAUGCCUCCAUCCCCAGCAGGCUGGAGAGGAUAAUGAGGGUGAAUGGUUUCACCCACUCAGCGGCAAAGCUUGCUCCCAUGAAUGGGUCCCAGCUCAGCUUGCCAGUUUGCCUUCUCCUCUGAGGCCACAUUUCAGUGCAAUGUUUUGUUGGCCCAUUCCCCUGACACUCCUGAGCAUGAAAGAGGCUGGAUGCAGGAUGCAGGACUGGGGGUAACUGUCUAAAGCUGUUGUCCAAGACAAAGAAGAAUCAAGGUACACCACCACCUGGUCAUGCGCUGAGGUUGCCUCCAUUCAAGUCUCCCAGGAAUUUGCCCUUGCAUGGAUGGGUCUAAUGCUCAACCACAGAGAUUUCGAGCAGCCCUGGCGUGUCAGACCAUUGCUGAUUUAUCCAGAGGGGUGUAGCGACUAGGGAAGAGAGCAGAGAUGUCAAAAAGCAUCAAGGUCUCUUCCAACCAGCCCCUUCUCCUGAUGACUUUCUGAGGCCACCAUCCUCCCCAGACUCCUGCAGUGCUGGGAUCCCUAACAAGUCUCUCUCUAGCACCACAGUGCAAGUUAUCAUCUCCUCUCCUUGCCUCUGCUUGACAGUUCCUACUUGAAACCCCCCUCUCUUGUCCCAAGACAGAGGUGUGGGGAUGUAAAUACUCAUCAGAAGCAAAACCUCAAAGGCAUUAAAAUAGCACAUUUUGACAGUGACCCAGUUAUCUGUG